This is a long non-coding RNA of Herpailurus yagouaroundi (jaguarundi), 1323 nucleotides long. RefSeq lists it as uncharacterized. The transcript is spliced from 3 exons. NCBI's taxonomy places the organism in Eukaryota, Metazoa, Chordata, Mammalia, Carnivora, Felidae. The record is from RefSeq and is a predicted model, not a curated record.
CACUGAAAAACACAGGAGCAAACGCACUGCCUCCCAUCGAGGCUGUGUUCGCCUGUAUAAACCAACCAGAGAAAAUAAAAGGGAAAUUUAUCAUCGCCUGCAGCCACAGCUGGGAAAACAUCUGUGGGACAGGGGUGGGCCCCUCCACACUCCCCUCCCUGCACUGAGGUCAGCUGUGGCUGUGACCAGGCCAGAGGAGGAGGCCAGCAUAACAAUACCUGUUUCUCUAGAAACAUGUGCGUGUUUGCUGGGUACAUAGGGGCUGAUCCCGUAGCCCAGAUCCUUGGGGGCAGUGUUGACCGCCUGACCACGGAUCUCAUUCCUGGGCCUUCAUUCCCCACCCACGCCCCGCCGCCCCCGGCUCUCCUCCUGGAGCAAGUCCUCAUGUGUCACCACUCCCUCAUGUAACAAGCCCUUCACUUUGCUUCCUAUGACUAACAAAUCAGGUCCACCGGCCGCCUGGCACUGGAGGUUCUAUUUACAGCUAUCUUUUCAGUUUCCUCUCUGACUAGCCAAACCAGUUCCUCGGGACAUCUCUCUCUCUCUUCUUCCUUCCCCAGUUAUCCCUUCAUCUGAAAGACCCUCCCAGCCCUGCUAAGACCCCACCUCAGAGCCUCCUCCCUUGCAGAGAAGCGCUAUUUCCAUGCAUGCCCCUUCUUAUGCUGUAGGACAUGCGGGGACGAAGGUGUGACUUUCCCCUUCCUUCCGUCACUCAGCAAGGACUCCCGAUGCCCACUCUGUGCCAGAUGUUGCUCUGAGCACCGGGGAGAAUGGCAGCAGCAGGGAGGCAGGAACUCGAAGGAGCACUGCUUCACAAAAGGGGCGUGAUCACCUGGGUGGUGCCGCUGGUUGGAGGGCAGACCCAUAAGGUAGAAGACAUGGGGAUCUUAAGGAAGAGCUUCAGAGGCGUGGCAGUGAUAUAGGAAGCAAAACACUAGCUGAGAGGGCCAAGGUGUCGAAGGCUCGAGAAGAUGUGAAAUAGCCAUCGCACGGUGAGGAAGAGCAACCUGGGUAGGAAAGUCCGGAGAAAACUAGCAUUAGAGACGUGACUGGAACACCAGUCCGCUUACCUGGAUUAGAUGCACCGCAAAGACAAAGAGCUGCAGCCUCGCGGGGGGCAAACACUGUGCACAGAGACCCAGGAAACAUGAAGCGAGUUCAACUCUGGGCAGACGCAUUAACUGUGCUGUGUUAUCCGCAUCCCCACACACAGUAUUUGGGGGCAUCUACUGCGACUACUUUGGCCUCUCCUUCCAUACGUGUCUGUUAAUUAAACAUGUCUGCUCCUUCACAGAGGCCCCUCACAACAUCGGGGGAAGACAG